RNAcentral lists this long non-coding RNA (269 nucleotides) under Brassica napus (rape). Its description in RNAcentral is "long non-coding RNA (BNAP_LNC018850)". The record is from RNAcentral. Lineage: Eukaryota; Viridiplantae; Streptophyta; Magnoliopsida; Brassicales; Brassicaceae.
ACUUCGGUUCGGUUCGGUUUAUAUACCGUCGGUUUUUGGUUUAUUCGGUUUUAUACCAAAAAACAUAAUUCUUUAUUUUGGGAUCAUAUUAUAUGAAUUUUAGAGUCUUGUUUUCAACACAUUCAUUUAUUAAAAAAUAUUAUAAGUUUAAAUAAAAGAACAAAAGUAAAAACUGUUUCUAUCAUCUAAUAAAAUAAUCAAAUCUAUAAUUAAAAUUAAAUCUCAAAAUUUUGAUAAUAAAAAUAAAACAGAAGCACGAAGCACAAAAA